RNAcentral lists this ribosomal RNA (253 nucleotides) under uncultured bacterium. RNAcentral describes it as "partial 16S ribosomal RNA". It matches the Rfam family "Bacterial small subunit ribosomal RNA", at positions 524 to 776 of the family's 1533-position model. The record is from RNAcentral.
UACAGAGACUGCAAGCGUUAUUCGGAUUCACUGGGCGUAAAGGGUGCGCGGGCGGUCGGGUGUGUCAGAUGUGAAAUCCCGAGACUCAACCUCGGAACUGCGUCUGAAACUACUCGACUAGAGUACUGGAGAGGGUAACGGAAUUCACGGUGUAGCAGUGAAAUGCGUAGAUAUCGUGAGGAACACCAGAGGCGAAGGCGGUUACCUGGACAGUUACUGACGCUCAGGCACGAAAGCAUGGGGAGCAAAAGGG